RNAcentral lists this ribosomal RNA (806 nucleotides) under uncultured bacterium. Its description in RNAcentral is "bacterial SSU rRNA". It matches the Rfam family "Bacterial small subunit ribosomal RNA", at positions 8 to 796 of the family's 1533-position model. The record is from RNAcentral.
AGAGUUUGAUCCUGGCUCAGAAUGAACGCUGGCGGCGUGUCUAACACAUGCAAGUCGUACGAGAAAGGGGCUUCGGCCCUGAGUAGAGUGGCGCACGGGUGAGUAACGCGUGGGUAAUCUACCCUUGGAUUUGGGAUAACUUCGCGAAAGCGGAGCUAAUACCGGAUAGUCUGGCUUUAAUUAAGAAGUCGGUAAAGGAUGCCUCUGCAUAUGCAUUCGUCCGAGGAUGAGCCCGCGUCUCAUUAGCUAGUUGGUAGGGUAAUGGCCUACCAAGGCAACGAUGAGUAGCUGGUCUGAGAGGAUGAUCAGCCACACUGGAACUGAAACACGGUCCAGACUCCUACGGGAGGCAGCAGUGGGGAAUAUUGCGCAAUGGGCGAAAGCCUGACGCAGCAACGCCGUGUGAGGGAUGAAGGCUUUCGGGUCGUAAACCUCUGUCGGAAGGGAAGAACGGGCAUUGGUCUAAUAGGCCUUUGUUUUGACGGUACCUUUAGAGGAAGCACCGGCUAACUCCGUGCCAGCAGCCGCGGUAAUACGGAGGGUGCAAGCGUUAUUCGGAAUUACUGGGCGUAAAGCGCACGUAGGCGGCUUCGUAAGUCAGGGGUGAAAUCCCACGGCUCAACCGUGGAACUGCCUUUGAAACUGCAAAGCUUGAAUCCUGGAGAGGGUGGCGGAAUUCCUGGUGUAGGAGUGAAAUCCGUAGAUAUCAGGAGGAACACCGGUGGCGAAGGCGGCCACCUGGACAGGUAUUGACGCUGAGGUGCGAAAGUGUGGGGAGCAAACAGGAUUAGAUACCCUGGUAGUCG